This is a long non-coding RNA of Gossypium arboreum, 228 nucleotides long. RefSeq lists it as uncharacterized. Lineage: Eukaryota; Viridiplantae; Streptophyta; Magnoliopsida; Malvales; Malvaceae. The transcript is spliced from 3 exons. The record is from RefSeq and is a predicted model, not a curated record.
UUUUCUACGCACGUUUAAGUUGGAUUCACAACGGAUAUGGGGUAGGAAGGUAUUUGGAACGUUCUUCAACGAGUAGAUCUCUUGUGAGGAUUAAAGGCUACCGAUCGAGGAGUGUGUGAAAAGCUUGGAUCAUCGGAGUGACUAAAUCUAGUCAUCAACUUCGGCAAAGGAGAAAUCGCAUAGGAGAUCUCGUCAAGGAAUAUCGCAAAUCAGGUGUGUAACGAACCC